UAUCCAUGAUGUGGGCUGUCUCUCAGUAUUCCCUUAAAUCUAUCCCAAGUUUCAUAGAUAGAUUCAAAGUUUGUUUUCUUGAAGCUUGCAAUAAGAUUGUGAAGGUG
Zingiber officinale is the source of this 107-nucleotide small nucleolar RNA. Lineage: Eukaryota; Viridiplantae; Streptophyta; Magnoliopsida; Zingiberales; Zingiberaceae. The record is from RefSeq and is a predicted model, not a curated record.